RNAcentral lists this small nuclear RNA (138 nucleotides) under Fukomys damarensis (Damara mole-rat). Its description in RNAcentral is "U2 spliceosomal RNA". It matches the Rfam family "U2 spliceosomal RNA". From Rfam's summary of the family: U2 is a small nuclear RNA (snRNA) component of the spliceosome (involved in pre-mRNA splicing). Complementary binding between U2 snRNA (in an area lying towards the 5' end but 3' to hairpin I) and the branchpoint sequence (BPS) of the intron results the bulging out of an unpaired adenosine, on the BPS, which initiates a nucleophilic attack at the intronic 5' splice site, thus starting the first of two transesterification reactions that mediate splicing. Lineage: Eukaryota; Metazoa; Chordata; Mammalia; Rodentia; Bathyergidae. The record is from Rfam by way of RNAcentral.
AUCGCUUCUCGGCCUUUUGGCUAAGAUCAAGUGUAGAAUUAGGACUGGAGGCACAAGUUUAUUACAUUAUAUUUUUUUAGUGGAAAAUGUUUUCUAACAUAACUUAGUAUGAUAAAUAUAUUAAGUCAAGUAAAUCAG